AUCGCUCAACGGAUAAAAGGUACUCCGGGGAUAACAGGCUGAUACCGCCCAAGAGUUCAUAUCGACGGCGGUGUUUGGCACCUCGAUGUCGGCUCAUCACAUCCUGGGGCUGAAGUAGGUCCCAAGGGUAUGGCUGUUCGCCAUUUAAAGUGGUACGCGAGCUGGGUUUAGAACGUCGUGAGACAGUUCGGUCCCUAUCUGCCGUGGGCGCUGGAGAAUUGAGGGGGGCUGCUCCUAGUACGAGAGGACCGGAGUGGACGCAUCACUGGUGUUCGGGUUGUCAUGCCAAUGGCACUGCCCGGUAGCUAAAUGCGGAAGAGAUAAGUGCUGAAAGCAUCUAAGCACGAAACUUGCCCCGAGAUGAGUUCUCCCUGAGACUAUAAGUCUCCUGAAGGAACGUUGAAGACGACGACGUUGAUAGGCCGGGUGUGUAAGCGCAGCGAUGCGUUGAGCUAACCGGUACUAAUGAACCGUGAGGCUUAACCUUACAACGCCGAAG
Molecule: ribosomal RNA, 499 nt
Filed under: Klebsiella pneumoniae
Lineage: Bacteria; Pseudomonadati; Pseudomonadota; Gammaproteobacteria; Enterobacterales; Enterobacteriaceae
Description: partial 23S ribosomal RNA
Rfam family: Bacterial large subunit ribosomal RNA
Source: RNAcentral